UGGGGAAUUUUGGACAAUGGGGGAAACCCUGAUCCAGCCAUCCCGCGUGUGCGAUGAAGGCCUUCGGGUUGUAAAGCACUUUUGGCAGGAAAGAAACGUCAUGGGUUAAUACCCCGUGAAACUGACGGUACCUGCAGAAUAAGCACCGGCUAACUACGUGCCAGCAGCCGCGGUAAUACGUAGGGUGCAAGCGUUAAUCGGAAUUACUGGGCGUAAAGCGUGCGCAGACGGUUCGGAAAGAAAGAUGUGAAAUCCCAGAGCUCAACUUUGGAACUGCAUUUUUAACUACCGGGCUAGAGUGUGUCAGAGGGAGGUGGAAUUCCGCGUGUAGCAGUGAAAUGCGUAGAUAUGCGGAGGAACACCGAUGCGAAGGCAGCCUCCUGGGAUAACACUGACGCUCAUGCACGAAAGCGUGGGGAGCAAACAGG
Molecule: ribosomal RNA, 428 nt
Filed under: Acidobacteriota bacterium
Lineage: Bacteria; Pseudomonadati; Acidobacteriota
Description: Acidobacteria bacterium partial 16S ribosomal RNA
Rfam family: Bacterial small subunit ribosomal RNA
Source: RNAcentral